UACGUAGGGUGUAAGCGUUGUCCGGAAUUAUUGGGCGUAAAGAGCUCGUAGGCGGUUUGUUGCGUCGGCUGUGAAAUCCCGAGGCUCAACCUCGGGUCUGCAGUCGAUACGAGCAAACUAGAGUGUUGCAGGGGAGACUGGAAUUCCUGGUGUAGCGGUGAAAUGCGCAGAUAUCAGGAGGAACACCGGUGGCGAAGGCGGGUCUCUGGGCAACAACUGACGCUGAGGAGCGAAAGCGUGGGGAGCGAACAGG
This 253-nucleotide ribosomal RNA is filed under the name uncultured bacterium. RNAcentral's name for it is "partial 16S ribosomal RNA". It matches the Rfam family "Bacterial small subunit ribosomal RNA", at positions 524 to 776 of the family's 1533-position model. The record is from RNAcentral.